Molecule: long non-coding RNA, 207 nt
Filed under: Mytilus galloprovincialis (Mediterranean mussel)
Lineage: Eukaryota; Metazoa; Mollusca; Bivalvia; Mytilida; Mytilidae
Source: RNAcentral
UUUGUGUUCUGUUAAAUUGUUCCUUUUAAAAUUGUUAUACGAUGAUGACUGAUGUACCCAUAUUUUGACUAUUUUAUUUAUUGUGUCUGUUUAGUUAACGCAUCAAUUUACAUAUAACGGAAUUUGAUGAGACUGUCAUCAAAGUAAGAGGGUUAGCGCUAUAAAACUAGGUUUAAUCCACCAUUUUCUACAUUUGAAAAUACCUGU